RNAcentral lists this ribosomal RNA (392 nucleotides) under uncultured Microsporidia. RNAcentral's name for it is "SSU rRNA". It matches the Rfam family "Microsporidia small subunit ribosomal RNA", at positions 1 to 405 of the family's 1311-position model. Lineage: Eukaryota; Fungi; Microsporidia. The record is from RNAcentral.
CACCAGGUUGAUUCUGCCUGACGUAGAUGCUAGUCUCUAAGAUUAAGCCAUGCAUGUUUAUGUAAUAAGGACGAACAGCUCAGUAGAACUACGAUGAUUUAGUCUGUUUGAAAAAGAUAACUACGUGAAAAUGUAGCUAAGAGAGAACAGAAUAAGACGUAGGACUAUCAGUUAGUUGGUAGUGUAAUGGACUACCAAGACGAUAACGGGUAACGGGGAAUCAGGGUUUGAUACCGGAGAGGGAGCCUGAGAGAUAGCUCCCACGUCCAUGGACGGCAGCAGGCGCGAAAAUUGCCCACUCUUUGUAGGAGGCAGUUAUGAGACGUGAAGUAGAAUAUUUCGUAAAGACGAAUAGGAUAAUUGGAGGGCGAGUUUGGUGCCAGCAGCCGCGG